Long non-coding RNA from Hippocampus zosterae (dwarf seahorse), 315 nucleotides. RefSeq lists it as uncharacterized. Lineage: Eukaryota; Metazoa; Chordata; Actinopteri; Syngnathiformes; Syngnathidae. The record is from RefSeq and is a predicted model, not a curated record. The transcript has 2 exons.
AGAUUUUGCUGCAUCAUCCUCAGGGUGUUUUCGGCCUCCUGUGAGGGGAAAAAAUGGACAACAUACAAGGAGCGAGUAAGAAAGGUCGCAAAUGAGCUGCUGCCUUUCCCAGCUGACUUUGCGUGAAGAGGUAGGGUACACCCGAGCCUGGUCGCAUGUCAUUUGCAGGGCACACAGAGCCAACCGUUCUGACAACUCACUCACAUUACAUCAAUGGACAGAUUCGAGUUUGCAAUUACUCCAAUGUGCAUGUUUCUGGAAUGUUGGAGGAAGCCGUGGUAAGCCAUCAAAUAAAAGGGGAACAUGUAAAACACA